AUUGAACGCUGGCGGCAGGCCUAACACAUGCAAGUCGAACGGUAACAGGAAGAAGCUUGCUUCUUUGCUGACGAGUGGCGGACGGGUGAGUAAUGUCUGGGAAACUGCCUGAUGGAGGGGGAUAACUACUGGAAACGGUAGCUAAUACCGCAUAACGUCGCAAGACCAAAAAGGGGGACUUUCGGGCCUCUUGCCAUCGGAUGGGCCCAGAUGGGAUUAGCUAGUAGGUGGGGUAACGGCUCACCUAGGCGACGAUCCCUAGCUGGUCUGAGAGGAUGACCAGCCACACUGGAACUGAGACACGGUCCAGACUCCUACGGGAGGCAGCAGUGGGGAAUAUUGCACAAUGGGCGCAAGCCUGAUGCAGCCAUGCCGCGUGUAUGAAGAAGGCCUUCGGGUUGUAAAGUACUUUCAGCGGGGAGGAAGGGAGUAAAGUUAAUACCUUUGCUCAUUGACGUUACCCGCAGAAGAAGCACCGGCUAACUCCGUG
Molecule: ribosomal RNA, 490 nt
Filed under: uncultured bacterium
Lineage: Bacteria
Description: partial 16S ribosomal RNA
Rfam family: Bacterial small subunit ribosomal RNA
Source: RNAcentral